GACGAACCGUGCGAACGUUGUUCGGAAUCACUGGGCUUAAAGGGCGCGUAGGCGGGCUGCCAAGUCAGGGGUGAAAUCGUUCGGCCCAACCGGACAAGGGCCCCUGAUACUGGCGGUCUCGAGGGAGGUAGGGGUCGAUGGAACUUCCGGUGGAGCGGUGAAAUGCGUUGAUAUUGGAAGGAACGCCGGAGGCGAAAGCGACGCACUGGAUCUCUUCUGACGCUGAGGCGCGAAAGCCAGGGGAGCAAACGGG
Molecule: ribosomal RNA, 253 nt
Filed under: uncultured bacterium
Lineage: Bacteria
Description: partial 16S ribosomal RNA
Rfam family: Bacterial small subunit ribosomal RNA
Source: RNAcentral